UAGGAGGAAGAUCAGCUGUUUUCAAAAAAGGAGACCCCUCCCUUUACGAUUUUCAUCUUCUCCAGCAAAACAAUGACCUAACGCCUAAGACCUAAGUUUCUUCUUCAACCAGAACACACUUGAAACCCCAGCCGUUUACCCCAUCUUCACCUCCAUGCUUCCUCACCUCACAGCAACCUAACGCCACGCUACAACCACCAACUGCCGUCGGCCGGAUCUCCCUUCAACUCACGCCCCAACAAGUAAGAGAACCCCAAAACCUGUACCAUCUUCUUCAACUAAACCCCUAACACCCUAAGAACCUAGAGCAACUUCGGUUCGAAUCAGGGGGUAUGUUCUCUUAUGUUUGUAUUCUCCAGAUUUGGUUUAACGUGAAAUCACGAUUGCUUCACCUUAUUUGUUACUAUUGUUUGGAUUUGUCUAUUUUAAUUAGUCUCAGUAUGAGUAAAGUGCGACCCUGUUCAUUUGUUCGAAGCUGCUUGUUCACAAAUACAAUCGC
This 499-nucleotide long non-coding RNA is filed under the name Nicotiana tabacum (common tobacco). RNAcentral's name for it is "long non-coding RNA (NTAB_LNC011793)". The record is from RNAcentral. Lineage: Eukaryota; Viridiplantae; Streptophyta; Magnoliopsida; Solanales; Solanaceae.